This 253-nucleotide ribosomal RNA is filed under the name uncultured bacterium. Its description in RNAcentral is "partial 16S ribosomal RNA". It matches the Rfam family "Bacterial small subunit ribosomal RNA", at positions 524 to 776 of the family's 1533-position model. The record is from RNAcentral.
UACGAAGGGGACUAGCGUUGCUCGGAAUCACUGGGCGUAAAGCGCACGUAGGCGGCUUUUUAAGUCAGGGGUGAAAUCCUGGAGCUCAACUCCAGAACUGCCUUUGAUACUGAGAAGCUUGAGUCCGGGAGAGGUGAGUGGAACUGCGAGUGUAGAGGUGAAAUUCGUAGAUAUUCGCAAGAACACCAGUGGCGAAGGCGGCUCACUGGCCCGGUACUGACGCUGAGGUGCGAAAGCGUGGGGAGCAAACAGG